Molecule: long non-coding RNA, 1016 nt
Filed under: Cicer arietinum (chickpea)
Lineage: Eukaryota; Viridiplantae; Streptophyta; Magnoliopsida; Fabales; Fabaceae
Description: long non-coding RNA (CARI_LNC003449)
Source: RNAcentral
UGUGGUUGCAUUAAUGUGCAUGGUGGUAGUUAGUGCACCAAUGGCAGAGGCUGCAGUAUCAUGCGGAAGUAUAACUAGUGCCCUUGUUCCAUGCAUCUCUUACCUUAAGGGAGGUCCAGGUCCUUCUUCAUCAUGUUGUGGUGGAGUGAAGAGAGUUAACGCUGCGGCCGCCACCACACCUGACCGUCGAGCCGCUUGCAAUUGCUUGAAAAAUGCUGCUGGUUCUAUUUCUGGUUUGAAGGCCGGUAAUGCUGCUGCACUCCCUAGCAAAUGUGGUGUCAACAUCCCCUACAAGUUCAGCACCUCUACCAACUGUAAUUCGUAAGUUAUAUAACUCAAAUGAAAUAUUUACAUAAAUUGGUUAAUGAUUACUUGAAAGAGUUUAAAUAGAAGCUCAAAGAUUAUUUUCAUCUUAAAAAAUAACUUAACUUCAUCUAUUUUAUUUUACUUAAUUCUAUAAUUUUUUCUAUGAAUCCAACCUUUUGUAGUCUAAGGAACACAUAAUUAUUUCAAUAAACAAUGUCAAGGCUGAUCAAAGUAUACUAUUCCUUCAUUAAUUCUAUAUAUACAAUUCUUUGUCAUUUAGCUUUUUCAAAUAUAUUAUCUUUCAUUACCUAUAUUAAUUACCUUGUCCCGAUCAUUUUUAUAAGAAAUAAUUAAAUUAUUAUUUAAUUAAUAAAAAUUAAUGUAUUUCAUUUAAGAUAUAAACUAAAGAAAAUAUUAGAUAGUGGUUUUCAUAUACUUAGUUGAAUUUAACAAUCAUUUAACUUAAAUUUUUUUUUUAAUUGUAGCAUCAACUUCUAAAGAGUGUGAAUGAGGGGAAGAAGCGGAUAGCAUGGCACUUCUUUCUAUCGAAAAUAAUAAUUAUCCAUCCUUGCGGUGGAAUUUAUUAAUGAAAUAAUAAAGAAAGACAACGAAGGCCCCACCUUUGCAGUCGAGUCUCCUCUUGUAUGAGACUUUUUUUUGUCUAUAUAUGUGUUGUACAAUUAUUAUUCUUCUUCCUAGUUUGGCUGUGU